CUCGCUCUCAUCUUCGCUGCUGGACUCGGACGAGUCCCCUCCAUCCUCGGACGAGUCCCCGUUCUCAUCAUCGUCCUCCUCUUCGUCCUCGUCCUCGUCGUCGUCAUCCUCCUCAUCCUCAUCCUCGGACUC
This 132-nucleotide microRNA precursor is filed under the name Sorex araneus (European shrew). RNAcentral describes it as "miRNA (ENSSARG00000016884.1)". The record is from RNAcentral. Lineage: Eukaryota; Metazoa; Chordata; Mammalia; Eulipotyphla; Soricidae.